RNAcentral lists this ribosomal RNA (252 nucleotides) under uncultured bacterium. Its description in RNAcentral is "partial 16S ribosomal RNA". It matches the Rfam family "Bacterial small subunit ribosomal RNA", at positions 524 to 776 of the family's 1533-position model. The record is from RNAcentral.
UACAGAGGGUGCGAGCGUUAAUCGGAAUUACUGGGCGUAAAGCGUGCGCAGACGGUCACGUAAGUCGGGUGUGAAAGCCCCGGGCUCAACCUGGGAAUUGCAUUCGAGACUGUGUGGCUAGGGUGCGGAAGAGGGAAGCGGAAUUUCCGGUGUAGCGGUGAAAUGCGUAGAUAUCGGAAGGAACACCAGUGGCGAAAGCGGCUUCCUGGUCCAGCACCGACGUCAGGCACGAAAGCGUGGGGAGCAAACAGG